GGGCAACUAGCGUAGUGGUUAUCGCGUUCGCUUCGCAUCUGAGAGCUACUCCACGGGUUUGCGAAAGGUCUCCGGUUCAAAUCCGGAGUUGUCCA
This is a non-coding RNA of Marasmius sp. AFHP31, 95 nucleotides long. NCBI's taxonomy places the organism in Eukaryota, Fungi, Basidiomycota, Agaricomycetes, Agaricales, Marasmiaceae. The record is from the annotation of a GenBank genome assembly.